CGCAAACUCUUCGUGUGUUAUUUGCAUAACAAUGAGCCGCGCUGAUCUCUGACACGCCCACUCAAGCGUUUCUGGAAACGAGCAGGAUCACAACACGCCAACAAUGACGCAACAUCACCUCACAGCAAGAUCUCAUGUGUCCAAACUCCAAACAGUCCUUAUGAGCUUUUCUCUUGCCUUUCAAUGGCCGUGGCGCUCUACAAGUCUCAACUUCACCUGUUGAGCCAGAUCUGUUGUUUUAUUCCACCUGCCAAGGAUUAUGCUAUAUGAGGACUGUCAGCGUCUCUUUGAUGUAACUCUUGGAUGGAGUGGAAGUCAACAGCAAUGAUUUCAACAUGUCUCUAAUCUGACAGUCGGCGUUUUGUGAACUGGAGCUGCUUUGUAGCUUUCAAUCAUGGAUCAGCUUUUCUGAAUUAAGGACUUUGGCUGUAAAACAAAAUUAAGUGUGGAUACAAGCUUUCAUUCACAGUGUUAGUCAUGAUGGUUGAUAAUGAAAUGAGUUAAAUGUGUUCUGUUUUUUUGGGGGUUUUUUUGGCCCCCACUGAAAAAUGUUCUGCUGCCUAAAAGUCCUAAAUAUGAAUAACCUCACUAAGAGUGCAUUACAUGUUUAUCUCUCAAAACAAAUCAUACUUAACAGACAGGACUUGUCUUGUGCUUUGCUGUGUUAUCUCAGAGAAAGGUAUGCAUGAAGAUGAAAUCUCACUGACGCAGAGCUAUCUGUUUAUUUGAUCGACUGCUUUCUUCAGCUGCAGGAGCAUUAAGAGGUCCACAAUAGGAUCGAUGAGUUAUCUGCCUGUCUCCUGCUCCAUCCCGCUUUCUUGCUUUUUUCCCCCCUCUUUUUCUUUUUCUCAUUGUCUCACAAGCUGUUGUGCAGAUUUCCCUCAGUUCAGAAGGCCUUGUGUUAGAUCCAGCCUUUCUGAACUCUUUUAAUCUUUAGAGCAGAGGUCAGCUAGUGGGUCACCAGAAACAGGUCACAGGUCUGUUCUGAGAGAGAAACAAAAGUAAAAAACAAUAUUAUGUAUAAAAAAAAAAUACUUCAUGGCUUAUGUUUAAGAAUUAUUAUUAAUAAUAUAACAACAUUUUUCGGAAAAAAAUCAAUAGCAUAAACAUGCAGAAAUCCAUUUGUUAUCAUGUGACAAGGCAUUAAAACUAAUACUUAAAAAUGAAAAUUCUGUCAUCAUUUGCCCACCCUCAUGUUGUUCAAAACCUGUCUGAAAUUCUUUCUUCUGUUGAAUACAAAAGAAGAUAGUUUUUAAGGAUUUGUUGGUGACCAAACGGUUGACAGUAGGCAUUGACUUCCACAGUAAGGCAAGAGGGGGGGCAGAAACGGUUAAGUUACCAACAGUCUUCGAAAUAUUUUUCAAAAUAAAAAAUAUUUGUCUUCAAAAGAAACAAGAAAUGCAUACAGGCUUGGAACAGCACAAGGUUGCAUGUUUAUUUUAUUUUAUUGUUACAUUU
This is a long non-coding RNA of Cyprinus carpio (common carp), 1458 nucleotides long. RefSeq lists it as uncharacterized. Lineage: Eukaryota; Metazoa; Chordata; Actinopteri; Cypriniformes; Cyprinidae. The record is from RefSeq and is a predicted model, not a curated record.